RNAcentral lists this ribosomal RNA (438 nucleotides) under uncultured Desulfobulbaceae bacterium. RNAcentral's name for it is "bacterial SSU rRNA". It matches the Rfam family "Bacterial small subunit ribosomal RNA", at positions 950 to 1382 of the family's 1533-position model. The record is from RNAcentral. Lineage: Bacteria; Pseudomonadati; Thermodesulfobacteriota; Desulfobulbia; Desulfobulbales; Desulfobulbaceae.
UUCGACGCAACGCGAAGAACCUUACCUAGGCUUGACACGUCCCGGGAAUCCUGAUGAAGUCGGGAGUGCCCCGCAAGGGGGAGCCCCGGAGACAGGUGCUGCAUGGCUGUCGUCAGCUCGUGUCGUGAGAUGUUGGGUUAAGUCCCGCAACGAGCGCAACCCUCGCCUUUAGUUGCCAGCAUUUAGUUGGGCACUCUAGAGGGACUGCCGGUGUUAAACCGGAGGAAGGUGGGGAUGACGUCAAGUCCUCAUGGCCUUUAUGCCUAGGGCUACACACGUGCUACAAUGGUUGGUACAACGAGUUGCGAGUCGGUGACGGCGAGCUAAUCUCUUAAAGCCAAUCUCAGUUCGGAUUGUAGGCUGCAACUCGCCUACAUGAAGUCGGAAUCGCUAGUAAUCGCGGAUCAGCACGCCGCGGUGAAUACGUUCCCGGGCCUU